UGAGAGGCCUUAAUCAAGGCCACAAACAGAAAGAGCUCAAACUCUU
Solanum tuberosum (potato) is the source of this 46-nucleotide non-coding RNA. NCBI's taxonomy places the organism in Eukaryota, Viridiplantae, Streptophyta, Magnoliopsida, Solanales, Solanaceae. The record is from Rfam.